UACGAAGGGGGCUAGCGUUGUUCGGAAUUACUGGGCGUAAAGCGCGCGCAGGCGGUCUUUCCAAGUCAGUGGUGAAAGCCCCGGAGCUCAACUCCGGAACUGCCAUUGAAAACUGUAAGACUUGAGGACGAGAGAGGUGAGUGGAAAUUCCCCAGUGUAGAGGUGAAAAUUCGUAGAUAUUGGGAAGAACACCCAGUGGCGAAGGCGGCUCACUGGCUCGUAUCUGACGCUCAGGCGCGACAGCGUGGGGAUCAAACAGG
This 260-nucleotide ribosomal RNA is filed under the name uncultured bacterium. RNAcentral's name for it is "partial 16S ribosomal RNA". It matches the Rfam family "Bacterial small subunit ribosomal RNA", at positions 524 to 776 of the family's 1533-position model. The record is from RNAcentral.